UAGGGAAUCUUCGGCAAUGGACGAAAGUCUGACCGAGCAACGCCGCGUGAGUGAAGAAGGUUUUCGGAUCGUAAAACUCUGUUGUUAGAGAAGAACAAGGACGUUAGUAACUGAACGUCCCCUGACGGUAUCUAACCAGAAAGCCACGGCUAACUACGUGCCAGCAGCCGCGGUAAUACGUAGGUGGCAAGCGUUGUCCGGAUUUAUUGGGCGUAAAGCGAGCGCAGGCGGUUUCUUAAGUCUGAUGUGAAAGCCCCCGGCUCAACCGGGGAGGGUCAUUGGAAACUGGGAGACUUGAGUGCAGAAGAGGGGAGUGGAAUUCCAUGUGUAGCGGUGAAAUGCGUAGAUAUAUGGCGGAAAACCAGUGGCGAAGGCGGCUCUCUGGUCUGUAACUGACGCUGAGGCUCGAAAGCGUGGGGAGCAAACAGG
This 429-nucleotide ribosomal RNA is filed under the name Gemmatimonadota bacterium. Its description in RNAcentral is "Gemmatimonadetes bacterium partial 16S ribosomal RNA". It matches the Rfam family "Bacterial small subunit ribosomal RNA", at positions 355 to 776 of the family's 1533-position model. The record is from RNAcentral. Lineage: Bacteria; Pseudomonadati; Gemmatimonadota.